AUCAGCAGCAGCGAAUGGAGGCAUUGUUGUGUCAUUUAAAACAGCAGCGAAUAGAGAAGGCAAUUGAGGCAUAAUCAAGCAAUCAAAAUUAUCUUGGCAUCUUAGGGGUUUGAUCUUCCUUCUGCUAGAAAAUUUUCCAGAAGGGAAGAUUGUCAAAGCCAUCAAAGGUUGCACCAUCAUCCAAAGACUAUGGGGAUUGAACUAGGAAUUGGUUUUGUAGUAGGUAUUUUCA
Molecule: long non-coding RNA, 232 nt
Organism: Beta vulgaris subsp. vulgaris (sugar beet)
Lineage: Eukaryota; Viridiplantae; Streptophyta; Magnoliopsida; Caryophyllales; Amaranthaceae
Exons: 3
Source: RefSeq, a predicted model, not a curated record